RNAcentral lists this ribosomal RNA (760 nucleotides) under uncultured bacterium. Its description in RNAcentral is "bacterial SSU rRNA". It matches the Rfam family "Bacterial small subunit ribosomal RNA", at positions 8 to 796 of the family's 1533-position model. The record is from RNAcentral.
AGAGUUUGAUCAUGGCUCAGAAUCAACGCUGGCGGCGUGCCUAACACAUGCAAGUCGAACGAGAAAAGUGGUAGCAAUACCAUGAGUACAGUGGCGCACGGGUGAGUAACACGUGACUAACCUACCCUGGAGUGGGGGGAUAACUGAGGGAAACCUUAGCUAAUACCGCAUAAUACCUACGGGUCAAAGGAGCAAUUCGCUUCAGGAGGGGGUCGCGGCCGAUUAGUUAGUUGGCGGGGUAAUGGCCCACCAAGACAGUGAUCGGUAUCCGGCCUGAGAGGGCGCACGGACACACUGGAACUGAAACACGGUCCAGACUCCUACGGGAGGCAGCAGUGGGGAAUUUUGCGCAAUGGGGGAAACCCUGACGCAGCAACGCCGCGUGGAGGAUGAAGUCCUUCGGGACGUAAACUCCUUUCGAUCGGGACGAUAAUGACGGUACCGGAAGAAGAAGCCCCGGCUAACUUCGUGCCAGCAGCCGCGGUAAUACGAGGGGGGCGAGCGUUGUUCGGAAUUAUUGGGCGUAAAGGGUGCGUAGGCGGUUUGGUAAGUCUUAUGUGAAAUCUAUGGGCUCAACUCAUAGACUGCAUGAGAAACUGCCGGGCUUGAGUAUGGGAGAGGUGAGUGGAAUUCCUGGUGUAGCGGUGAAAUGCGUAGAUAUCAGGAGGAACACCUGUGGCGAAAGCGGCUCACUGGACCAUAACUGACGCUGAUGCACGAAAGCUAGGGGAGCAAACAGGAUUAGAUACCCUAGUAGUCC